AUACGGAGGGUGCAAGCGUUAAUCGGAAUUACUGGGCGUAAAGCGCGCGUAGGCGGAUAUUUGAGUCUCAUGUGAAAGCCCUGGGCUCAACCUGGGAACUGCAUGGGAUACUGGGUAUCUAGAAUACAGUAGAGGGUAGUGGAAUUUCAGGUGUAGCGGUGAAAUGCGUAGAGAUCUGAAGGAACAUCAGUGGCGAAGGCGACUACCUGGACUGAUAUUGACGCUGAGGUGCGAAAGCGUGGGGAGCAAACGGGAUUAGAUACCCUAGUAGUCC
RNAcentral lists this ribosomal RNA (274 nucleotides) under uncultured bacterium. Its description in RNAcentral is "partial 16S ribosomal RNA". It matches the Rfam family "Bacterial small subunit ribosomal RNA", at positions 523 to 796 of the family's 1533-position model. The record is from RNAcentral.